ACUCAAAGGAAUUGACGGGGGCCCGCACAAGCGGUGGAUGAUGUGGAUUAAUUCGAUGCAACGCGAAAAACCUUACCUACCCUUGACAUGCCUCGAACCCUGCAGAGAUGCGGGGGCGCCCGAAAGGGAACGGGGACACAGGUGCUGCAUGGCUGUCGUCAGCUCGUGUCGUGAGAUGUUGGGUUAAGUCCCGCAACGAGCGCAACCCUUGCCAUUAGUUGCUACAUUUAGUUGGGCACUCUAAUGGGACUGCCGGUGACAAACCGGAGGAAGGUGGGGAUGACGUCAAGUCCUCAUGGCCCUUAUGGGUAGGGCUUCACACGUCAUACAAUGGUCGGUACAGAGGGUUGCCAACCCGCGAGGGGGAGCCAAUCCCAGAAAGCCGAUCGUAGUCCGGAUCGCAGUCUGCAACUCGACUGCGUGAAGUCGGAAUCGCUAGUAAUCGCGGAUCAGCAUGUCGCGGUGAAUACGUUCCCGGGCCUUGCACACACCGCCCGU
This 498-nucleotide ribosomal RNA is filed under the name uncultured bacterium. Its description in RNAcentral is "partial 16S ribosomal RNA". It matches the Rfam family "Bacterial small subunit ribosomal RNA", at positions 899 to 1397 of the family's 1533-position model. The record is from RNAcentral.